GUACUGCUGAAGAGUCCCAAAAGGGGUGAAACAGCUGUGCAGUAC
Molecule: non-coding RNA, 45 nt
Filed under: Trichobilharzia regenti
Lineage: Eukaryota; Metazoa; Platyhelminthes; Trematoda; Strigeidida; Schistosomatidae
Source: RNAcentral